This 2921-nucleotide long non-coding RNA is filed under the name Canis lupus familiaris (dog). RNAcentral describes it as "lncRNA (ENSCAFG00000050426.1)". Lineage: Eukaryota; Metazoa; Chordata; Mammalia; Carnivora; Canidae. The record is from RNAcentral.
AGACUUAGAAUUUAGAAGCCAGAUGGUUAUGACAAAGACAGGUAUUAACACAUGUAUUUGAGUUAGAACACAAAGUCAGUUUUGACCAAUCAGUUUAAUAGCGAAGACUGUGUUUGCCAAUUAAAUUAUACAAAGGAAGUUUUCCAUAAAAUGAAGAUGUAGCUCUAUAGUUUUGGCAAAUAUGUAUCUAAGGCAUACACAGAACAUCCACUGUUUCAGAUGGUGUAUUAAUUAUGACUGCUAAUCUUAUUGAAAAUUUACAUAUCAACUCAAAAAUGUGGGGUGGGGUACAUAAUUUUCAGAAUUUAUUAGCACAUUGACCAAAAACCUUAAGUCCUGUGAGUAAGAGGACCUGAAGAAAGAGAAAAGGAUCAGAAAAAGUGAGGGCAUAGGGAGAGAACCAGUAGAGAAGGCAGAUGAGAAUGCAGAAGUCAAGUAUGACGACAAAGAGGAGGGAUAACGAAAGUGCCAAACAUUGCAGAAAGGUCAAGGAGAAUGAUAAUUCGAUAGUAAUCUUUAUGAAUGCAGUUGCAGGUGGGAUAGAGUUAAGAGUCUGUUUAGAACAUUCAAAAAGGUGGGCAGUAAUGAUGAGAAAAAUAGAGUAUCAUUUACAAUACCAUCUGGCCAGAUCACUGGGGCUAAAAUGACUUAGACCAAAGAGCAACUCAAGAUACUGGACACUGAAGACCACUGAAAGCAGCCAUAUCUGGGAGGGGAGCAGAGGAAUGAAAUUGCUGCUUGGAUGAUAAUGCCAAGAAAUACAUAACAGAGGAGUAGGGGAGAAGACCACCUUAGGAUUGUUGCUCAUUGUAUCUUACGAGUUUUUAAAGUGUAGUUUUAUCUACACUUUAUUGCUUCCUUUACGGUUUCUAUGUUUUUCAAAUUUUUAACAAUGAAAAGGGAAUAAAGAGAUUUUGUUUCAAAAUAAGAAGUUAAAAAAAAGACAAAGAAGGUGAAAAUAAACUAUGUCCUCAACCUACGUCAGACUAAAAAGUCUCUGGACAGCUAAGAAAACUAUCAACAAAAUGAACAGGCAACCUGUGAAAUGGGAGAAAAUAUUUGCCAACCUCUUAUCUGUCAAGGAGUUAAUAUCUAAAAUAUGGAAGGAACUCAUACAACAAAAAGCCACAAAAACCACAAAAUUAAAAGUGGGCAAAAAGGGACACCUGGCUCAGUGGUUGAGCAUUUCCCUUGGGCUCGGGGCGUGAUCCUGGGGUCCGAGAUCAAGUCCCAUUGAGCCUGUUUCUCCCUCUGCCUAUGUGUCUGCCUCUCUCUCUCUGUGUCUCUCAUGAAUAAAUAUAUAAAAUCUUUAAAAUAAAUAAAUGAAAGAAAGAAAGAAAGAAUUUUAUUUAUUUUUUUUAAUUUUUAUUUAUUUAUGAUAGUCACACAGAGAGAGAGAGAGAGGCAGAGACAUAGGCAGAAGGAGAAGCAGGCUCCAUGCACCGGGAGCCCGAUGUGGGAUUCGAUCCCGGGUCUCCAGGAUCGCGCCCUGGGCCAAAGGCAGGCGCCAAACCGCUGCGCCACCCAGGGAUCCCAAGAAAGAAAGAAUUUUAAAAAAUGGGCAAGGAUUUUGAAUAGACAUUUUUCCAAAGACAACAUAUAAAUUGGCCAACAAGGACAUAAAAAGGUUCUCAACAUCAUUAAUUAUCAGGAAAUGCAAAAUGAAACCAGAAUGAGAUACCGCAUCAUACCUUUUAGAAUGUCUGCUUUCAGAAAGAUGAAAGCCACCAAAUGCAGGCCAGCAUAUGGGGAAAAGGAACCCUUGUGCACUCUUGAGGGAAAUGUAGAUACAGUUUAUGUAUAAAACAUGAUGGAGGUUCCUCAAGAAAUUACUAAUAGAAGUAUAACAUGACCCAGCAAUCCCACUUCUGGGUAUAUAUCCAAAGGAAACAAAAUCAUAACUACAGACGUACUGGUACUGCCAUGCUCUGCAGCAUGGUUCACCAUAGCCAAGGAACACCUUAAGUCUCCAUCAAUGGAGAAAGGAGAAUGGAUAAAGAAAAUGUAACCUGACAUACACAAAAUGGAAUACUAUUCAGUGAUAAAAAAAAUAAAAAGGAUAUCCUGCCAUUUGUGACAACAUGGAUGGACCCUGAGGCCAUUCUCCUAAGUGAAACGAGUCAGAAAGAGAAACACAAACACUGUAUGUUCUUACUUAUAUCUGGAAACAAAAAAACUGAACUCAUAGCAGAGACCAGAAUGGUGGCUGGGAGAUGGGCACAAAAUGGGUGAAGGAGGUCAAAAGGUACAAACUUUCUGCUAACAAGAUUAAAUAAGUCUUGGGGGUGUAAUGUACAGCAUGGUAACUAGAGUUAAUAAUCUUGUUCAUAUAUCUGAAAGUUGUUAAGAAGGUAGAUCUUAAAAUUCCUCAUCAAAAGAAAAAAAAUCUAAUGAUUUGAAGUGAUGGCAACUUAUCGUGUUAACCAUCCCAUGGUAUUUACAUGUGUCAAAUCAACAUGUUGUACACCUGAAAUGAAUACAGUGUUACAUCUCAAUCAUAUCUUGAUUUCUAAAAAAAUCUUUCAUUACCUGAUACUCAGAAAAUUGACUGCCUAUAUUUGCUAAUAUUAUCUUGUCUUAUUCUUGAAUUUAAGUCCUUCCCCCAUCUGGAGUAGACUGUCUGUAUACAGUGUGUGUUACCGCCUGAGCCACAUCCUCCCAAAAUUCAUGUGUUGAAGCCCUAACCCUCAGAACACGACUGUGCUUGGGACAUCGGGACAUGGCCGGAGGCAGCCGUCUGCAAGCCAAGGAGACAGGUCUCAGGAGAAACCAAGCCUGCCCACACCUUGAGCUUCGACUUCCGGACUCCAGAACUGUGAGAAAAAUUUCUGUCAUUGGAGCCCCUAAUCUGUGGAAUUUUGCUCCGGCAGCCCUGGAAAAGUCAUCCAGUGUGAGAGAGGGAUUUUGCUUCGUUUUGCUAU